Cervus hanglu yarkandensis (Yarkand deer) is the source of this 97-nucleotide small nuclear RNA. The record is from Ensembl. Lineage: Eukaryota; Metazoa; Chordata; Mammalia; Artiodactyla; Cervidae.
AUGCUCACUUCCGCAGCACAUAUACUAAAAUUGGAACGAUACAGAGAUUAGUAGGACACCAGGGAUGACACAAAUUCAUGAAGCCUUCCAGAGUUUU